Molecule: ribosomal RNA, 427 nt
Filed under: uncultured bacterium
Lineage: Bacteria
Description: partial 16S ribosomal RNA
Rfam family: Bacterial small subunit ribosomal RNA
Source: RNAcentral
GUGGGGAAUUUUGGACAAUGGGCGCAAGCCUGAUCCAGCGACGCCGCGUGGAGGACGAAGGCCUUCGGGUUGUAAACUCCUUUUGGAGGGGAAGAAUAAAUUGACGGUACCCUCAGAAAAAGCCACGGCUAACUACGUGCCAGCAGCCGCGGUAAUACGUAGGUGGCGAGCGUUACUCGGAAUUACUAGGCGUAAAGCGUAUGUAGGUGGUUAGAUAAGUCUAUGGUGAAAUUUCCUGGCUUAACUGGGAAGGGACAUAGAUACUAUCUGGCUUGAGUGUGGGAGUGGGAGACGGAAUUCCUGGUGUAGUGGUGAAAUGCGUAGAUAUCAGGAGGAACACCGAUGGCGAAAGCAGUCUCCUGGCCCAAUACUGACACUGAGGUACGAAAGCUAGGGUAGCAAACAGGAUUAGAAACCCGUGUAGUCC